Molecule: ribosomal RNA, 253 nt
Filed under: uncultured bacterium
Lineage: Bacteria
Description: partial 16S ribosomal RNA
Rfam family: Bacterial small subunit ribosomal RNA
Source: RNAcentral
CACGUAGGGCGCAAGCGUUGUCCGGAUUUAUUGGGCGUAAAGAGCUCGUAGGCGGUCUGUUGCGUCCGCUGUGAAAACCCGGGGCUUAACCCCUGGCUUGCAGCGGAUACGGACAGACUAGAGGUAGGUAGGGGAGAAUGGAAUUCCCGGUGUAGCGGUGAAAUGCGCAGAUAUCGGGAGGAACACCGGUGGCGAAGGCGGUUCUCUGGGCCUUACCUGACGCUGAGGAGCGAAAGCGUGGGGAGCGAACAGG